This is a long non-coding RNA of Triticum dicoccoides, 1148 nucleotides long. RefSeq lists it as uncharacterized. The transcript is spliced from 3 exons. The record is from RefSeq and is a predicted model, not a curated record. NCBI's taxonomy places the organism in Eukaryota, Viridiplantae, Streptophyta, Magnoliopsida, Poales, Poaceae.
GCGUGUUUGGAUUAGUUAGUACUUUGUAGACGCCGCUUACUUUCCCCUGUGUCUCUCUGAACUCAAGUCGCCUCCGCUUCUUCCCCAAAUCGCCGCCGCAGCUUACCGUCUCUGUUCCUCGAGGAGCUCGACCUAGCCCAAGCUCCCCACGCCAUCAACGGCUCCGGUGACCGCCGCCACGGCGACAAAGCCGUACGGUUGCGCGGCUGCCGCUUCCCGUUCCACUCUCCUCACACCGUCAACGGCCCCGGCUCCGGCGACCGACGCCACCACGGCGAUGCCGUAUGGUUCCGCGGCGUGCAGUGCAGACGUGGGGCGUCCCAUCUGUUCUUCGCGGUGGAGGCCUACCGGCGGGGAAGAAGGGCACGCUGUCGCGGUGGACGACUCGCGACUGUGGUUGGUGGCGGAGGACAAAAUCCGCCCCAUCUUCUAGACCCUUCACUACCGAGGCAUCCAGGGAGUCCAGAGCGUGCUCGACGCAGUCUGAACUACUUCCAGUGGAUGAGUAUGAGCUGCCCUCUUCGUGGCAUGCUGGAUCUGGGACUAUGGUGACAGACUCUUCAUUCAGAUAAUGUGAGGACAAGAAUCAUUGAAUGAGUGAUAGGAGAACAUUGAAUGAUUUCGGUGACAAAUUUUACUCGCUAGGUUGAUGAUAAAAAUGGAGAUAUGUACUGACGCAAAGAGCAACAUUGCAUCAUUGAUGUUUAAACCAAUGAACCAAAAGGAAAGGCUCAUGAAGGUUGAUUUCUUGCUGCAAACAAGUCGAGGAGGUAGCUCUUGUUGUCCCAGCAGGGUCAGCGGCGUCUGAUUGGAGAUCUCAGCCUAGCGUCGAUGGCCAGAAGAUCGAUGAUCACAGCCGUUAUCGGCGGCCAGCCAUGGAAGAAGCACGUACCCAGAUCCUGUUUGUUGAUGUUUGUUAUGCCGGCAUCCCUGUAUAUAUAUAGAAGCUUGGAAAAAAGGGCGCGUGCUAGUUGCGCGGGAAGGCACAGUUGGCGCCAACAAGUUUGUUGAGGAAGACGUGGAGGGAAAAAAAGUCUGUUUUAUGUAACCAGGUUUCUAUAAAAACGAGUAUUAGUUGUUUUUCACUAGACGCACUUUCCUGGCUUUGUGGAAACCGAAUUCUGCUUAUCCACGUUUCUAUUGGACCA